Molecule: ribosomal RNA, 466 nt
Filed under: uncultured bacterium
Lineage: Bacteria
Description: partial 16S ribosomal RNA
Rfam family: Bacterial small subunit ribosomal RNA
Source: RNAcentral
GACGAACGCUGGCGGCGCGCCUAACACAUGCAAGUCGAACGAGCGAGAGAGAGCUUGCUUUCUCGAGCGAGUGGCGAACGGGUGAGUAACGCGUGAGGAACCUGCCUCAAAGAGGGGGACAACAGUUGGAAACGACUGCUAAUACCGCAUAAGCCCACGACCCGGCAUCGGGUAGAGGGAAAAGGAGCACUCCGCUUUGAGAUGGCCUCGCGUCCGAUUAGCUAGUUGGUGAGGUAACGGCCCACCAAGGCGACGAGCGGUAGCCGGACUGAGAGGUUGAACGGCCACAUUGGGACUGAGACACGGCCCAGACUCCUACGGGAGGCAGCAGUGGGGAAUAUUGCACAAUGGGGGAAACCCUGAUGCAGCGACGCCGCGUGGAGGAAGAAGGUCUUCGGAUUGUAAACUCCUGUUGUUGAGGAAGAUAAUGACGGUACUCAACAAGGAAGUGACGGCUAACUACGUG